GUAAGGAAUAUUGGUCAAUGGACGCAAGUCUGAACCAGCCAUGCCGCGUGAAGGAUGAAGGUCCUCUGGAUUGUAAACUUCUUUUAUCUGGGGCGAAAACGGGAUUUUUAUCUCAAUUGACGGUACCAGAGGAAUAAGCACCGGCUAACUCCGUGCCAGCAGCCGCGGUCAUCCGGAGGGUGCGAGCGUUAUCCGGAUUUACUGGGUUUAAAGGGUGCGUAGGUGGGCUUAUAAGUCAGUGGUGAAAUCUCCGAGCUUAACUUGGAAACUGCCGUUGAUACUAUAGGUCUUGAAUUAUCUGGAGGUAAGCGGAAUAUGUCAUGUAGCGGUGAAAUGCUUAGAUAUGACAUAGAACACCAAUUGCGAAGGCAGCUUACUACAUAUAAAUUGACGCUGAGGCACGAAAGCGUGGGGAUCAAACA
RNAcentral lists this ribosomal RNA (422 nucleotides) under uncultured bacterium. Its description in RNAcentral is "bacterial SSU rRNA". It matches the Rfam family "Bacterial small subunit ribosomal RNA", at positions 354 to 774 of the family's 1533-position model. The record is from RNAcentral.